UGUGCGACGCACAACCUAAUGUGUGAGAUAAUAUGUGUUCCACACAACCUAGCUUAUGCGUUAAGGUGUGCGCCGCAUACAUUGUGGUCCAAGUGACUUAAACACUCCAUAUUUAGGGCAAAAUGGUCAUUUUCCCACCCCAAUAUAAGCCACAAACACGGAAUUUUACUCCAAAAACACAAAAAUAUACUUCUUCUUCCAAUUUUAUCUAAAGAACAACACCCCUUAGUCCCAAACAAAAAUCUAGAUCCCUCAAGAUUCAACUGUGGGU
This 271-nucleotide long non-coding RNA is filed under the name Capsicum annuum. RNAcentral's name for it is "long non-coding RNA (CANN_LNC005110)". The record is from RNAcentral. Lineage: Eukaryota; Viridiplantae; Streptophyta; Magnoliopsida; Solanales; Solanaceae.